This 250-nucleotide ribosomal RNA is filed under the name uncultured bacterium. RNAcentral's name for it is "partial 16S ribosomal RNA". It matches the Rfam family "Bacterial small subunit ribosomal RNA", at positions 524 to 773 of the family's 1533-position model. The record is from RNAcentral.
UACAGAGGGUGCGAGCGUUAAUCGGAUUUACUGGGCGUAAAGCGUGCGUAGGCGGCUGAUUAAGUUGGAUGUGAAAUCCCCGAGCUUAACUUGGGAAUUGCAUUCAAGACUGGUCGGCUAGAGUAUGGGAGAGGAUGGUAGAAUUCCAGGUGUAGCGGUGAAAUGCGUAGAGAUCUGGAGGAAUACCGAUGGCGAAGGCAGCCAUCUGGCCUAAUACUGACGCUGAGGUACGAAAGCAUGGGGAGCAAAC